This 227-nucleotide long non-coding RNA is filed under the name Trifolium pratense (red clover). Its description in RNAcentral is "long non-coding RNA (TPRA_LNC014256)". The record is from RNAcentral. Lineage: Eukaryota; Viridiplantae; Streptophyta; Magnoliopsida; Fabales; Fabaceae.
AUAUACAAACUGCAGGUCCGCCAUUAACUACAACUUCAAAUCCCAUUCCUUAAUUGUUAUGAGCCUCAGCUGCCAGGAAACUGAAACUCGGUGAAAUUAAUGAGAUCAAGAUGAUAGCAUUGUAGAGGCACACAAUAAUGGCGAGAGACCGGCGGAAUCUUGUUAUUGCCAACUCUUGGCUUCAUACUAUAACUAAAUGGAUUCUCCAAUCCUCCAUACACAGUUCC